This 468-nucleotide ribosomal RNA is filed under the name uncultured bacterium. Its description in RNAcentral is "partial 16S ribosomal RNA". It matches the Rfam family "Bacterial small subunit ribosomal RNA", at positions 28 to 507 of the family's 1533-position model. The record is from RNAcentral.
GACGAACGCUGGCGGCGUGCUUAACACAUGCAAGUCGAACGGAAAGGCCCUGCUUUUGUGGGGUGCUCGAGUGGCGAACGGGUGAGUAACACGUGAGUAACCUGCCCUUGACUUUGGGAUAACUUCAGGAAACUGGGGCUAAUACCGGAUAGGAGCUCCUGCUGCAUGGUGGGGGUUGGAAAGUUUCGGCGGUUGGGGAUGGACUCGCGGCCUAUCAGCUUGUUGGUGGGGUAGUGGCUUACCAAGGCUUUGACGGGUAGCCGGCCUGAGCGGGUGACCGGCCACAUUGGGACUGAGAUACGGCCCAGACUCCUACGGGAGGCAGCAGUGGGGAAUAUUGCACAAUGGGCGGAAGCCUGAUGCAGCAACGCCGCGUGCGGGAUGACGGCCUUCGGGUUGUAAACCGCUUUCGCCUGUGACGAAGCGUGAGUGACGGUAAUGGGUAAAGAAGCACCGGCUAACUACGUG